AACGAACGCUGGCGGCAUGCCUAACACAUGCAAGUCGAACGAGACCUUCGGGUCUAGUUGCGCACGGGUGCGUAACGCGUGGGAACCUGCCCUUAUGUUCGGAAUAACUCCCCGAAAGGGGUGCUAAUACCGGAUAAUUUCUUCGGACCAAAGAUUUAUCGCCGUUGGAUGGGCCCGCGUUGGAUUAGCUAGUUGGUAGGGUAAAAGCCUACCAAGGCGACGAUCCAUAGCUGGUCUGAGAGGAUGAUCAGCCACACUGGGACUGAGACACGGCCCAGACUCCUACGGGAGGCAGCAGUGGGGAAUAUUGGACAAUGGGCGAAAGCCUGAUCCAGCAAUGCCGCGUGAGUGAUGAAGGCCUUAGGGUUGUAAAGCUCUUUUACCCGGGAUGAUAAUGACAGUACCGGGAGAAUAAGCUCCGGCUAACUCCGUG
This 433-nucleotide ribosomal RNA is filed under the name uncultured bacterium. RNAcentral's name for it is "partial 16S ribosomal RNA". It matches the Rfam family "Bacterial small subunit ribosomal RNA", at positions 29 to 507 of the family's 1533-position model. The record is from RNAcentral.